RNAcentral lists this ribosomal RNA (582 nucleotides) under uncultured bacterium. RNAcentral describes it as "partial 16S ribosomal RNA". It matches the Rfam family "Bacterial small subunit ribosomal RNA", at positions 355 to 930 of the family's 1533-position model. The record is from RNAcentral.
UGGGGAAUUUUGGACAAUGGGCGAAAGCCUGAUCCAGCAAUGCCGCGUGUGUGAAGAAGGCCUUCGGGUUGUAAAGCACUUUUGUCCGGAAAGAAAUCCUUGGCUCUAAUACAGUCGGGGGAUGACGGUACCGGAAGAAUAAGCACCGGCUAACUACGUGCCAGCAGCCGCGGUAAUACGUAGGGUGCAAGCGUUAAUCGGAAUUACUGGGCGUAAAGCGUGCGCAGGCGGUUUGCUAAGACCGAUGUGAAAUCCCCGGGCUCAACCUGGGAACUGCAUUGGUGACUGGCAGGCUAGAGUAUGGCAGAGGGGGGUAGAAUUCCACGUGUAGCAGUGAAAUGCGUAGAGAUGUGGAGGAAUACCGAUGGCGAAGGCAGCCCCCUGGGCCAAUACUGACGCUCAUGCACGAAAGCGUGGGGAGCAAAACAGGAUUAGAUACCCUGGUAGUCCACGCCCUAAACGAUGUCAACUAGUUGUUGGGGAUUCAUUUCCUUAGUAACGUAGCUAACGCGUGAAGUUGACCGCCUGGGGAGUACGGUCGCAAGAUUAAAACUCAAAGGAAUUGACGGGGUCAUAGCUUCC